CCCCCCCCCGGAGACUUCCGACCACCUCCUUCCUCCUGGGUCUGAUGGGCAUUGUCUCUUUAUGUUGUAGAUGUGUGUUCAUCCCACCCUCUAGGCUGGGAGCUCUGCCAGGUGAGGGCCGAUGACUGUCUUAUUCUCAGGUUCCCACUAUCAACUACAGUGUUUGGCAUGCAGAAGCUCAAUAAAUGUUUGUUUCAAUGAAAUGGAAACAGAGCUAUUUAGGGCAUGCUGGUAAUGGAAAUAACCCAGCUUGAAAGAUGCUCUGCGCUAGGUUGCAACCACAGGCAGUUCCAGGCUUACUUAGAAGCCCUGAAUUUACCAUCAGCUUCUAGCCAGGGCUACUAGUUACUGGCUGCUCUGGAGGCCACCCCAUGAUUGCCAUGGGAACCAGCCACUCACAAAGCCUCUGGGGCCCCUGCUCUCUGUGAGCCUUCUCAGAUGCUGCCUUGGGAACUGCACAGGUGCUGGCACCUCCAGCCAGUCAACUCCUUAGAGUGACCUUGGGCCAGAAGAUGGGGGCAGGGCCUCAGUGGGGACAGAACCACCCCACCUACAGCUGCUUUUAUAAAUGGAGAAAUGCAUUCAAAGUUCCAAAGCAACCAGCCAGUAAGUGGACUACUGAAGCUCCUGUGAGAUGAAGUGGCUUCACUCUUGGCAGCUAGAAUAAGAAAGGCAAGAGCCAAGAACCAGGUUUACAUUAAAACCUCCUUGGAGAGAAAAAAGGCAAGAGGCCUGCAGGGGUAGCCAGCCAGCAACCGGGUCAGGAGGAUCGGUCAGAGUUACCAGCACCACAGCCUUGCGCGCAUACCGGUGUCUUGUAACAAGAUUGAGAGCUGCAUCUGAACAGCACAUCGUGACAGAACCUCUGUCAUAAUGCCCCCACUGGUCACGAGAAUGUAAACUCCAAGAAGACAGAGGCCUGUUCAUCUUAUUCAACCCAUGUCCCCAGUACCUGGAACAGCACGCAGUACUUACAUGUGGACUGAAUGAAUGAAUGUCUUGCAGAAACUUUCAAAGCUCCAUAAUAUCACCAGGCAGCAAAUCCUCACGAAGACAGCAUAUAUGCAGACUAAUCAUAGUAGCAGAUAUUUACCUGGGGCUUACCACAUGCUGAAACACUUGACAUUUAUAUUUAAUUCUCUUAAUCCUGACAGGGUGGUGAGGAUGGGAAUUCUAUUACAUUAUUCUCCCAUUUUACAGAUAAGGGCAUGGAGCACAGUGGGAAAAGUAGGUUGCCCGUGACCACACAGGGGAUAAGGGGUUGCCUGCCUGCACACAGGCAACGUAACUCCCAACCCUAAGCACUGCUCACUAAGCUGGGCUGCUAACCUCAGAGAAAGCCCCGUCCUGGGACAUAAAGGAGAUCGCGUCCACGCUGGCUUCUGGAAGAUCCACCCUGUGAAGCUUCCGGUUGUCUAUUUUGGUUUCUUUUAUACUGUUUGUUGAGCUCUGGUCAUAUGUUCAACGUCAGGAGGAAAGAGAACCAAUUGUGAUCUGGCAAGAAUUAGGAGAGAGCCAAAGAAAGAAGAUGGAGGCAGCCAAUGAAGACCUCCAACAGAACCACUGUCUUCUGUGUCUGCCCAUUCGUCCAUUUGUUGUUCACUCCACAGACGUUUUUUGAGCACCUAACCACGGCCAGGCACCAUUCCAGGCCCAUUUGUCUAAACACUACAAAGGCACAGGGCAUGGUGGGAGCAUAUGGAGUGCCAAGGCUAGAAGAAGGACGCUGCUUUAUAGGCUCCAUGUGGGUGUCCGGGAGCAGGGUGUUCCAGGCAGUCGGGGCAAGGAGCGUGUCUCGGACGAAGGGAGCAGUGUGGAGGGGCGACGUCAGGGGAAAAGGGAGAGCCUUACAGGUGCUGUAAGGGGUUUGGAUUUUACUCUGAGUGGGCGGGAAGCCAUGGUUUGACUUACGUGUUUAGAGAGUCUGGCUGCUCAGAGACCAUGGGAGCAGAGCAGCUGUGGCAGUGGUUCUGCCCCCUAGUGGGCAGUGGACAAUGUCUGGAGGUGUUUUUGGUUGUCACAACUUGGGGUGGAGGCAUGCGCUCCAGGCAUCUGGUGGAUAGAGGCCAGGGAUGCUGCUAACCGUCCUACAGUGCACACAAAAGCCCCACAACAGAGAAUUACCCAGCCCCGAAUGUCGGUAGUGCUGAGGUUGAGAAAUGCACAGUUAGGGGAUCACUAGAGUGAUCUAGGUGAGAGAUUUACUCAUUAAAUAGCUACUGAGCACCUCCUAUGUGCCAGAUGAUGUACCACGAGCUGAAGAUACCACCACAAACAAAACAGACAAGGUCUGUGUGCUCCCCAAGCUUAUGUUGCAGGGAUGGUGGGAGCUCAGAACAGGAUGCAGGUAGCAGGGUGGUGAGGAUGGUUAGAUUUUCAAAACAUCUUUUGAAGGUGAAACUGACAGGACUUCCUCAGGACUGGAUGUGCAGUGUGAGAGGACGAGGAGUCAAAUUGACCCCAAGGCUUUAGCAAUUAGAACAGGGUUGACACUUACUGAGACGAGGACCACUGGGAGAGAAAAUGAUUUUGGGGGUUGGGGAAAUCAGGGGUUUCGUUUUGGAGAUAUUAAGUGGAGAUGAGGUCAACUGGCUAUUCUAGUUCUAGUCCACUGGUUUAAAGAAAAAGAUCUCUUUUGCAGGAGACAAAAUUUUAGAAAUUGGCAAGUAUGAAGAAGAGCUCUCAGGGAUUCAGUGUAGAUGUAAGAAUAUGGCCAAGAGAUCCUCGCACCAAGCCCGAGCUCUCCACCACGGGAAGCUGGGGAGGAGCAAGCAAGAGAGGAUGAGGUGGCAAGAUCUCCACACUAAUUUCUCCCUCAGGUGUGUGGGGCCUUCUUGGAAGCCAAAUGAAGAAAAUCUUUCAAGAGAAGAAAGUGGUCAAACCAUGCCAAGUAAAUGUUCCUCUACCAGGAAAAAAAAUCUAAAUAUUACCCCAUCCCCAUUUUCCAACACUAUAAAUUGUGAGGCCAUCACAAAACUUGGUCCACUCAUCACUGCCGUAUCUCUUCAGUCUCUCCAGGAGGAAAUACGACAUCCACGGAAGCCUCUGCCACAUCCAAAGAAGGAAUUAAUCCAUCAGUACUCAUUGAGUGUCUACUAUAGUCACAGCACUCUGCUCCUGGUUGAAAAUAUACAAGAGAAAGAUUAAAAGACCCAGUUCAAUACGUCUGUCUGCGGAAGGGGAAAUGAAGCAUCUGCUUGGUGCCUCCAUUAGGAAGAUGACUUACGACAGGCAGCUGUCAGGCAAGGCGUCUGCAUUCUGACGGAGCCGGCUAGACCAUGGAGCUGAAAGCCUUCAAGAAGCCAAUGAAAGUCCCAGAACCUUAGCCCAGCCCUUCCCCACCCGCUCCCCCAGAAGCAACGUGAACAUGGGUGCCCACAUACACACAACUGUGAGAAUAAUUUCAGCGUUUUCGAGCUUCCUCACCCCCAAGGUCCAGACCCGGAUGCCACAUCUAUCAGUUCUGAGCUGUGUGAUGUGGGUGGAAUUACUCGCUGUCCUCCUUUGUAAGAUGGGCAUGCACGAACCACACCCAGCUCAUGGGUUUGUUCUGAAGAUGACAUGAGCAGCUGGAGCUGGAGCCCUGGGCACGGCACCUUGCCCAUACUGGGAGCUGGUCAUUAUUAGCUGGUAUUCUCAUGCCCAGGCCAGGAGUUUAAGAUUCCCCAGUCAAAGAGAAUAAUAUAGGUACUUUACAGUUGAUCAGUGCCAAUUUUUCUUUGAAAUCUACCUUACAGGUUUUCUGGAGUAAUGGUUCAGAGUAUGGAUUUACUUUAUAAUAUCGAUAAUUUACUUUAAAAUGGUUUGACUUUGAGCAAGGGAACACUGAGUUUGUAUUAGCUGGAGCCUCCAGGGUGGUCAGCUGGUGUUAUAUCACAAAGACGUCAGGUCUUCAGAUCACUGAGGCUUUGAAAAUUAACAUCGUGAGCGUCAGAAGUGAGUUUUACUGGUGAAAUGAGAGGCUUGCUAGUCUACAUGAUGAAUAUCGGACAUAGGCUCUCGAUGGCAAAAUCAAAGGUAUUCGAGUGUGGAGGGCUGGGUAAACAUUGUAAAGGCGCUCCCCACGUGUGCAUGAGGCGCUGUAGGAAUCCAGUGAGGCCUGUGGCCAUGGCCACAGGGACGGCACCGAAUGUUGCUGUUGCUUCUGUGAACUUUUCAGACAAGAGGUAGACCCAUCAAGCUCACAGCCGUGUGAACUGUCCUGGGCUUGCUUUCUCAAGGAAUGUUGGCUUAAUAAAAGGCCUGUGUUUGUGGCCGAACUUGGUCUGAGAAUUGCUUUCUUCAUAACGUGAUAAUGAGGUCUGAGUGCAUAACUAACUCUCACCCACCUUAAACAUCUCAGUGCCGUCCUAUAC
Molecule: long non-coding RNA, 4355 nt
Filed under: Equus caballus (horse)
Lineage: Eukaryota; Metazoa; Chordata; Mammalia; Perissodactyla; Equidae
Description: lncRNA (ENSECAG00000035438.3)
Source: RNAcentral